This 76-nucleotide transfer RNA is filed under the name Ixodes scapularis (black-legged tick). RNAcentral's name for it is "tRNA-Ser". The stretch from base 9 to 66 matches the Rfam family "tRNA", at positions 8 to 63 of the family's 71-position model. From Rfam's summary of the family: Transfer RNA (tRNA) molecules are approximately 80 nucleotides in length. The record is from RNAcentral. Lineage: Eukaryota; Metazoa; Arthropoda; Arachnida; Ixodida; Ixodidae.
CCACUGGCUAGCUUAGUUGGUAGAGCGCUUCAUUGGAAAUGUAGAGGUCCUGAGUACGAUACCCGGAUCAGGUGGA